This 501-nucleotide ribosomal RNA is filed under the name uncultured bacterium. RNAcentral's name for it is "partial 16S ribosomal RNA". It matches the Rfam family "Bacterial small subunit ribosomal RNA", at positions 29 to 523 of the family's 1533-position model. The record is from RNAcentral.
AUUGAACGCUGGCGGCAUGCCUUACACAUGCAAGUCGAACGGCAGCACGGGUGCUUGCACCUGGUGGCGAGUGGCGAACGGGUGAGUAAUACAUCGGAACGUACCUUAUCGUGGGGGAUAACGCAGCGAAAGCUGUGCUAAUACCGCAUACGCCCUGAGGGGGAAAGCGGGGGAUCGAAAGACCUCGCGCGAUUAGAGCGGCCGAUGCCUGAUUAGCUUGUUGGUGGGGUAAAAGCCCACCAAGGCGACGAUCAGUAGCUGGUCUGAGAGGACGAUCAGCCCCACUGGGACUGAGACACGGCCCAGACUCCUACGGGAGGCAGCAGUGGGAAAUUUGGGACAAUGGGGGCAACCCUGAUCCAGCAAUGCCGCGUGAGUGAAGAAGGCCUUCGGGUUGUAAAGCUCUUUUGUCAGGGAAGAAACACCGGCUCUAACACAGUCCGGGAAUGACGGUACCUGAAGAAUAGGCACCGGCUAACUACGUGCCAGCCGCCGCCGUAA